GGAUUCCCCUAGUAACUGCGAGUGAAGCGGGAAAAGCUCAAAUUUAAAAUCUGGCGGUCUUUGGCCGUCCGAGUUGUAGUCUGGAGAAGUGCUUUCCGCGCUGGACCGUGUAUAAGUCUCUUGGAACAGAGCGUCAUAGAGGGUGAGAAUCCCGUCUUUGACACGGACUACCAGUGCUUUGUGAUGCGCUCUCAAAGAGUCGAGUUGUUUGGGAAUGCAGCUCAAAAUGGGUGGUGAAUUCCAUCUAAAGCUAAAUAUUGGCGAGAGACCGAUAGCGAACAAGUACCGUGAGGGAAAGAUGAAAAGCACUUUGGAAAGAGAGUUAAACAGUACGUGAAAUUGCUGAAAGGGAAACGCUUGAAGUCAGUCGCGUCUGCCGGAACUCAGCCUUCCUUUCGGUUGGUGCAUUUUCUGGUAGACGGGCCAGCAUCGAUUUUGACCGUCGGAAAAGGGCUGGGGAAAUGUGGCACCUUUUGGUGUGUUAUAGUCUUCAGUCGCAUACGGCGGUCGGGAUCGAGGAACGCAGCGCGCCGCAAGGCAGGGGUUCGCCCACUUUCGCGCUUAGGAUGCUGGCAUAAUGGCUUUAAACGACCCGUCUUGAAACACGGACCAAGGAGUCUAACAAACCUGCGAGUGUUUGGGUGGAAA
Molecule: ribosomal RNA, 648 nt
Filed under: Lentinus sajor-caju
Lineage: Eukaryota; Fungi; Basidiomycota; Agaricomycetes; Polyporales; Polyporaceae
Description: eukaryotic LSU rRNA
Rfam family: Eukaryotic large subunit ribosomal RNA
Source: RNAcentral